Long non-coding RNA from Musca domestica (house fly), 1228 nucleotides. RefSeq lists it as uncharacterized. The transcript has 4 exons. Lineage: Eukaryota; Metazoa; Arthropoda; Insecta; Diptera; Muscidae. The record is from RefSeq and is a predicted model, not a curated record.
UUGUUGAUAGCGCGUAACGAACGAAAAAUGACCUGUUGGGAAGACUUUGAAAGUUAUAAGACUUUCUAAGAGGCCAAAAAGGUUUUGCAAAACAUAAAUGGUUACAGUGAGGCGAUGUGAAAGAAAUGAGGAACGAUUAUUUAUUUUAUAAAUCACCGCAACAGGACUUCUGCAAAAUCUUCACCCUCACCUAAAAGUCUCUUGGAAUCUUGAAUGCAUGGAUUAUUAUAAACUACUGGAUAUAAUCAAGAACAACAACGCUGGAAAAUACUACAACUACAAAUAAUACUACAAAAAGUACUCUGCUCUCUUCUCACAAUGUGUAAUGAGAGCAGUUCAGUACAGAUUUGCAAUGUAGUGGUUUGAUCAUAAAUUUCAAGGGAAAAAAGAAGAUCAAUCCAUAUGAAACCCAUAACAACACCAAGAAGAACCAGGGCAGAGCAACACCACAAACAGCCACAGUCCAUCCACCAGAAGAAAUACCCAACCUAAGGAAUGUGCCCAAACAGUUUCAAGUUAAACAUAAAACCUUAAAGCUUAUGUUUCAAACCUAAAAUAUCUGUUGAAGUUAUCAACAGAGUCAUAAUUAUAUGACUUUGGGGGCCAUGUUGUUUCGAGGGAAUGCGAUUAAAGCUUCUGCCCAAUAUGCCCCUCAUCACCCCCUCCACGACCCAAAGGCAUUUAGUCGUCGAUUGGAAAUUAAGCUGGCUGGCUGGAACUUACUGUUGUGACUGCUGCUCCUACUCAUCCUAUACUAGAAUUAUGAGUAGAAGUCAAGCGUUCAGGCUGUCAAGACAGGCCAGCAGCCUGUCCCACAAAUAUGCAUGUCCACGAACAAUAUCAGCCUCAACGAUACAGCUUAAAGGCCCCAAAACACACAGCAACAACAGCAGCAGCGGAAGAUGGAGGGAAAAUCUGAAAUACCACCACAACACUAACAAAAUAUGUUUUAAGGCCACACAACACCCAAUAGCUAUGAAAACAUACAGCAACAAAAAUGUAAUGAUAAUGAAGAACAUGACAAAAAAAAAAAACAAAGAUGAAGAAGAAGGUAAAAAAUUAUGUGCUACUGGAUAAAAAUCAGAAGAUAUGUAUAUUCACAUUUGUUAAGAAUGCCAGCAAGAAAAAGAAAUAGCAAGCACGAAAACUGCACCAUAAGAUGGGAGAGAUAUAUUUAAGUUUUUCAUUUCAGCUGCAACUAUUUGAAAUAUUCAUUUUUUUUAAAUUA